CAAUUUUCUUCUCCAUAAUAUAGGCAGGUACAACACACUAAAAGUUAAAGUUAAAUCCACACAAUUAAUCUGCAUGAAAUGCACCUUUUCUUACCUAUAUAUAUGUACAUAUUUUCAUAGCAAGUUUCACUGCAACCAAAUCCAGUUUUCAUCCUUUAUCUAUAUGUUUGGCUAUAUCAUGAUUAACUACUCAAAAGUCAAAGAUAAGUGGAGUGCAAGAAGCACAAGAAGCACAAAAAAAGUAGCAAACUACUUCCAACCUUCUUCUUGAUGGGCAUUUCUUCAUCAACUGGGGAAUCCUUCAUCCAGCAUAGCUUUCGAGAAGAAAAUCAAGUGGCAGAUACAUUAGCUAAGGAGGGAUCUAGGAUGCAACAAGCAAAACUCUUUUGUGCAAUGACAGUUCCGCCUUUGUUUGUAUUUAACAAGGUGGAAAUCGAUAAAGUAGAAACUCUUUUUGUUAAAUUGAAAAGGCUUCUAAUGAAUUUGGGAAUUUGUAAUAACUAUGAAACCUCCCAUGAUAAUAAUUCUAGCUAGCAGACUAGCUGUCAUGCCACUCCUUUGUAAUAAUACAUAUUCUAUUAAGUUCUAUUAAUGUAUUAUCUUCGUUUUACCAAAAAAUAUAAAAUAAAAAAUAUGUGUGUAAAAAGUUAUGAUAUAA
Molecule: long non-coding RNA, 658 nt
Organism: Solanum dulcamara
Lineage: Eukaryota; Viridiplantae; Streptophyta; Magnoliopsida; Solanales; Solanaceae
Exons: 3
Source: RefSeq, a predicted model, not a curated record